This 19348-nucleotide long non-coding RNA is filed under the name Ananas comosus (pineapple). RNAcentral describes it as "long non-coding RNA (ACOM_LNC006260)". The record is from RNAcentral. Lineage: Eukaryota; Viridiplantae; Streptophyta; Magnoliopsida; Poales; Bromeliaceae.
AUUCUGGAUUGACUCAUUCUAAAGUAAAUCACUCAAAACCCUCUCUAACAGACACCUCUCCUCCUCUCCCUUCAUCACUCCCCUCUUCCUUAACCAAAAUUCUCUAUCAAAGUUCUAGUUGUCCCAAUUGUCCAUUCUAAUUUUCAUUUCAAUAAUGAACCAAACACGUUUGGAGGAUUCAUCAUUUCAUUUGUUCUCAUUCCAAUGCAAUUUAAUUUAAUUUCUCAUUCUCAUACCAACCAUGAACCAAACAUGCCCUUAAUGCCUUUGCUAUGGAAACAAACAUUAUUGUAUUUCGCUAAAUUCUACUCAUGGAAUACUCACAAACUUUAAAGCUUCCAUCAAAAGAAGGGUAAUCACUAAUGGCCUCAUCAGAACCUAGAACUCCUAUUUUCUUGAGCUGACAUUCUAACACCUUUCUCCCAAUCAUACUCUGUUAGUCAAAGAGAAUAAAGUGAAUGAAGUAGUUCCACUUGUAUUAUCAAAUCAGGUACUAUGUAAAAAAUGAGAAUGGAAAAUAGUUGCUUGAAAAGACAUGAUGCUUGUAAAUAAAAGAGUAAGAAGGUUUUAAAAAAUUUAAAAGAAAAGCAAAUGCAAUUUGCAGGCCUCAAUGUAACUUCUGCAAGUAUCAAGUAUCAACAUUGUGAUUAGAAACACCAAGAUAAUAUAUAAAAUUACCAACGUCGGAAGUGUCGUAAAAUAUUAACAUGCAGCUGACAAAGAAAACCUCAAUACGAACCGAUAGAAAUCAUCAACUAACCAUAAAACAUUAUGCAAAAUAGAAGUGUUCCUAUAUUAUUCAACUAAGAAUAAUGGAAUGAAUAACUAAGAAACACUUCAAGAUUUUCUUUAAUUAGAACAUGUAAAGCAAUUUCAUUACUAGAUUUCUUUCAUUUACUGCAGAUUGCUAGCUUCCUCACUGAUGUCCUCAUUGUUUACACUUAGAUGGAUAAGGAGAAGUAAAUAGCAAAAGCAUGGUACCACAAUAUAACUUUCAAAUGUAACAAAUAAAUAUAUUAUAAAAACAACAAAAUAAUGCACAGGUUUAUGGUUUCCAAACUAUCCAAUUGCUGUCGUGUGCCUAACUAUCUAGAGCAACUUCAGCAUAGUAGUUUAUCAACUUAACAAAAAAUAUAAUAAGAAAAUGACAGAGAAACAUAAAAGAUGAAAAAGAAAUUCCAGAUAAGCCUCGAGAAAAGUGAUGAACAUCUUUAAUAUUUAUGCUAUCAUAGACAAUACAUAAACAAGCUACACUAUUCUGAAUAGAAAAACUGCAUAAAGUAAACAAAGAUUAUCAGAAGUAUCAGCUGCUACCUGUGUAACAUUUGUACGAUCUAAACAAUCAAUACAGUUGGUUCUUACAACACCUGUCUGUUCUUCAAUUUUCUCACCAUUCUCAUUCAACAGGAAGUAUCUGUUGAAUGAUAAACACAAGAAUUAGGAAGAAGAACAUGAAUUAAUUGAUACAUAAAAUAAAAUUAAAAAUCAAAUAGGACGAGCAUUUACAAUACAUUGUACAAAGGACAUCAAUAAUGAACUAAAGUUAACAAAUGAGCAAAAUACAAAGUAUGAAAUUGUGGAAAUCAUAACAAGCUUCGGAUCUUAGCAGUACUAUUAACACAAGAAGAGUUAUGGUAGGACAAUUAACACAUUCAAAUUUGUCUAAAAGCAAAUAAUAGCCGCCAAAGAUCCAAAUAAAGGCAUCUCAAUGUUUAAAAUCUUUAGAUCCGGUGCAAUCCUCCCAUAAAAUUUAGAGAAGAUUUCAAGACAUUCUAGAUGCAAUAUUACUUGAGGUUCACCAUGAAAAGUAAUCAGGAAAUAAGCAGAGAGACAUAGAAUGCAUCUGCUAACAUGCUUUAAGAAAUUUCCUGUUGUUGACAGACUUUGUAAUUCUAAGCAAUAGAAGGGCAAAAUAUGUGAUUAUUUAACACUGUCAAAUGAAGCAGCUGCCUAAGGUGUUACUGUUACCUUUUGUCUUAACAAAUUUGAUUUUGGUCAGGUUCAACACAAGGCAAACCAUAAUGAUAACUACCAAUACUUGAGAAGGAUUGUAUGUUCAGACUACAUACCUAUAUUGCAAAAUAUACACAAAAUGGCAUGUCAAAGCUCAAAGAAAUUUGUUUAAGUGGUGGCAUUUCUAAUUAUGCAAGGCUAGAAACUCACAUUUUCAGUUUACCCUUAUCUCCAAUUCUUCAUUAAAUGUCAAUUGGACCUUAAAUAUUUAUAACAGUUUGUCCCAUCCUAAGUCCGGUUUCUAAUUCAAAGAUAAAGUUAAAAGGCACUAACUUGAAAAGAAUAAUGUUUCACUCCUGACGUAGAUUAAUAAAACUCAGGAAUGCUCAUGUACCUCAUCUGAUAAGCCCUAUUUUUAAAUUGGACUAGUCUUAACAAAGUGAAAUAAAUCUAUUCAAACUUACACACCAUAGUUUCAACAAGAAGUCUGCAUCAAAUGUUUCAUACUAUAGCCAGCAUCUCGGUGCUGUACUAACCACAAUUAUUGAACAACAUAUAUUUGCGCACAAAGGAAUCCCAUUCUUUUGACAUUUUAGACGUGCUGGCAGCUCUUUAUCCAUUUUAAAUUAUUAUUAUCUACCAAAAGGCAGAUUCCAAAGAAAUUGAGUUCAAAGAAUAACAAAAAGGUGAUAUCAGCAAAAUAACAACCCACGCCAGAAAAAGCUGUAUAAAAAUACAACGAAUGGUAGAAAAAGCUGCAGAAAAGUACUUUUUGUGAGAGAUGAUCUCACAAUAUCACACCCCAAUAUACAUACCUAUGCGCCGUGAGGUAAUCUUCAAUUUGAUCAUAAAGAAGAGACAGACGCUCAAAAUGGAUAUGACCGCAAAUUCGAUGAAAGUCAAAAUGUACGUAGCUGCAAAAUAUAGCAAAAUUAGCCAACCGAACUACAUGAAACAUUGUAUAUAACAAAGGCACAGCUGAUGUUACCGUAUAUCAUCACUAAGAAUAGGCUGAAUAGCAUCUGCAUAUCGCUGGCUCAAUCGUCCCUCACUACCAUGCUGAAUAAUGCGAGACAUUAAAAAGUUGGAGUAAACACAAUAAUUGCACACACAUGCUUCAUGGAUAAACACAAGCCAAAACAAUGGGCCUCAGAAUAAUGAAUCAUUGGAUACUAAUAUUGUACUCAGAUAUUUAAUAAGCUCCGCAAAAUAGGAAAUUCACAUGAUAAAACCAUCUGAAAAAUACAACCUAUAAAAGAGCAACAGACGGGCACAUUAAGAGCAGUAGAGUUGUUCAGAAUUCCCACGCAUACUUUAUAACAACAAAGAAAAGGUCCAAGUCAGUGCAACAACAAAUCAAUCAAACACCAGCAAGUGAUGUAUCAACGUGCAUAAAUACAAGAAAUAACAAAGGAAAUAGGCUGAUAUAAACAUUAGUCAAUGAUCUAUAGGGCUAGUUAUCAUGCAAAAAUCUGCUUCUCCAAUUACAAUCAGUGAUACAAUACAAAUAGGCACUUGAAUUGUUAAAGGAAGCUGCUCCCUAUCUUUACAUGGAAUGCUGAAAUAGAAAUUACUGGUUCUUAUGCCUGAAAAAUUAAUGUUGUUGCAAGCCACCCAGAAGUUCAACAAAAGUAAAAUGGUGGGAACUCAAUGUUCAAUGAAAUAUAGAGAGAAAUCAUUGUAAUUUAUAAUGAAAGCAAUAAGCACAGAUAUUCUUUUACAUAAUGAGUUAACAAUUUCAAGUACAGCAAAUGUCACAUAAGAAGCAGCUGGUGCUAUCACCAAAGAAACCCAAUCAUAUCUAUUAUCUUCCUCCACUCUUGUUAUGGUAAAAUUUUCAGGCAAAUUCAACAUGGAAGUUCAAAUAAUUCUAGCAAGCAAUUUAACAAUUGAUAUUAAAUAGUGCAUUUCCAAAUUCAGUAAACUUCAAAGAGCAACUACAUAAUCUUAUAGGGCAAAAACAUAGUGGAAUGUUGCAUACAAAACUACCUUAUUGACAAGAUCAACAGCUAUGACAGAUCCAUAUUUUUUUCGUAAGUCCAAAAAGUGGCGUUCAACUAUGCGAGGCUGUCAAAGCAGAACAAAUUAGUCAUUAGCUAGUUGCGAAGAUGGGGCAGGUACAAAAUGUAUAUAAGCAUAUGAAUGGAGAACAAGGUUCUGUUAAAAGGCUCACCGCCUCCUCACGACUAAUAAUGUCAAAAUGAGGCUUAUAUGUUAAAUCAACAAUUUGUUCCCACAAAAAUGGUAUAGAUCCUCGAACCUGCAAAACAACUAGUUAAUUUGGUGUAUCUUCCAAAGAUUUGCAUAAUUAAAGAAUUUACCUUGCAGCAUAAGAAGCUGAUCAAGAUAACCAUAUUAAAGUAGAAAAUGUCAUCAUACAAAUAAAACUGGCUACUUUGGCCAAAUAAUCUGGCGUCAAUAGAUACACAUACACACACAAGAAAAAACAGAUGUACUCUUUAGAUGCUAAGUAGAACAAAUAUUUCAUCAAGAAUACUAUAGGUGCAUGCCAAUAUUACAGGUGGAUGCAAUGAGUCGAAUACAGAAUACAAUAGCAAUAGCAAACAUACAAACAUAGGUAAACAACAAGGUUCUUCAUCAAAUUAGUUCUAUUUUGCACAAGAUGUUUAGCAAAACCAAGUGCCAUCAUGUUGUUACUCACUAAUAUCAUAAUAUUAGUUUUGGUUCCCCCACUCCCACUCACUAAUAUCCUAAUAUUAGUUUUGGUUUCCCUACUCCCAACCUACCAACAUUGCACAUGUGCACAGGCGUGCAGCACCUUCUUCUUGACUAAACGUUGACCAUCCUUACUGCCCUUCCUGGUCCACAGAGUAUCCUUGUUGCACAUGUUGAAACCAUCCUAACUGGUUUUUAUGCAAUUCAUUUGCCACACACUGCAUCUAACUGGCAUUCACUACAAUCAUUUCUCAUUUUAUCUUUUCCAAUAACUACAUACAUCUACCUUAACAUCUUCAUCUCGUGACACAAUUUUCACAGAUGUUGUUUCCUAAUUUCCCAACAUAAAGGUCCACAGAGCAUCAUAAAACUAAUCAUUUUAAGCUCAAGCGGUAAAUGGCAGCCACACACACCACAUUGAAAGAACUUCUCACUUUAACCGUUUUGCUAUAACUCCAUAUACGGUGUCCUCCACAUCUAUUCUCCAUACAGAUCGAAGGAAAUGCAUGUUCCCCCUUAGCCAGUUCUUAAAGCAAUAGGUUGCACAAUCGAAAGAGGAAAGUCAACACCACCGUGUGCAAGAAAGACUAUAACUCAUUAACUUGUCACAGAAAAGAAAUCCUUGAUAUUUCAGAAGAUAGAAAUAUAACAUUGCAUAUCUGUAUGUUAACAUAAAAGUUUAUUCCAAGGCAUGCUAACAGAAUGACUUCCUAAGAUACACAUAUUUUCCUGGGGAAAGAUAACGCUUAUGAACCAAGCAAAACUUUACAUUGACUUAGAUUUGUGAAUUGAAAAUGACUUGGAUGGAUCUUCCAAUUGUUACAUUAGUAACGCAAAAAAUAACUUGCAAAGGAAGAGCAUACUAAUGACACUACAAGUUAGGGCCUCUCAUCUUGAGUUUAAAAAAAAUAUAUAUAUCAGGAGUGUAAAAUGCUGUUUACAAAGAAGACUCAUGCAUGUAUGCCGAUCAUUUGAAAGGCACAAACACUUAAAGACAAUUUAUCAUAGCUCGAAAGUUGAAAUAAGGGCUCCCAAGAGAUACUUUCACUUCUGGAUAGCUAUGGCAACUCAACAAUGCUUUGUCAUGCUAGAAUCUCUGUUUGCUAACAAUCAAUCAACCAACCAACAAAAGAUGAAUGAACAAACUAAAGUGACUUACUUGAACAAAAGAUGCUGUAAAUCCAUUUGAUUGCAGUAUUUGUUCGGUUUCAACAAAAUUUGCAACAUAACCAUCUGAAUCAGCUCCUCUCCUCCACAUCCGAGUACCUUGUACCAAUAAAUAGCUUCAAUUUACUUCACCUAAGUAAAAUAUAAUGUAAAGUACCAAGAUCUCUUGAAACUAAAAGAUACUAGCCAGCUUCAGUUACAAAACAGACUGCACAAUUUGGACAUUACAAAAUAAAUUACAAAACAUAGUAGGAUAUAAAAUUUUGCUAUUACAUGAACAAAUUACCUGUCCUGCGUGUGCAUCUUCGUGCAAUCAGGAAAACAUCAACAUUUUUGUUCCCAACUUUCGCGUGAAUAUUCUGAUAACCUUAUAAUAAGUUAAGGUACAGUGGAAAUUACGAGGAGAAUAAGAGCCCGAAUUUGAACAUUACAGUGUGAAAAAGCUGAAAUAUGGGGGAAAAAAGUAUAAGAAAUCAUCAUCAUAAUCAUUGUUAAUGAUUUCUCCUAUUAAAUAUGAUGUGACUUAAAAUUUAGCACAAUGAAGUAUAGGAUACUUCCUUGAAUGACAGGCAAUAGGAAUUGGUCAAGCUGUCCAAAAAAAAGAGAAUGGUCAAUGUGACUUGAGAAAAUUGUGAUGCAGCAGUGGUUAAGAUGCAUAAAAAUUAAGUGAAAGACAAAAAAUGUUCUCACUUUGUUAUCAAUAAGAGGUUCCAUCAUGUAAUUAUUCCAAAGAAAUCUUGGCUCUGCCUGCACAAGAACAAAGAUCCAAUGUGAAGUUAUUGACAACAAUCAUAACAAGCAAUCAUUGAUUGUCACAAUGUCUAAUAAAUUGAAAAGAGUAAAACCUUCUCCAGUAUCUAUUACAAACAAGCACUAACCAUCAAAAUCACAUGAAGCAUGUUAGCAAAUAUGAAAGGAGAAACCUUAUAAAGUUUGCCAAAGUACUUGUAAGCAAGAAAACAAAUAUAAACAUGAAGCCAAUCCCAGAAAAUUUGAGAAAGGUCUACAAAUGCUUCAGCCAAUUAUCUCUAAUUGGUUUUAACUCUGCCAAACUGUUACAUCAAAGACAAAUAAUUUUGAAAGAAAAUAGCGUAACUAGUGAUUGAGAUAAAAACCAGUGUUGCCAGCAAAUUUCGAAAAUUUGCCAACACUCUUUCAAAGUUCAAACAGAAUUUCUCAAAUCAGAAUAUAACUCAACCUCCAAUCUUCUUUUCUCCAUAUUCUAGAUGAUUUCUUGAUGUUUACAACAGGUUGGAACACUUACAAAGCUUCACGAUGGUAUCAAUAGCCUCCAGAUCACAGUAACUAAAUUAGCUUAUUGUUGUGGAAUUCUCAAAAGCUGAAUGAUAACAGAGUAUUUAGCACAUAAUAGAGUGAAAGUUUCUAUAUAUCCUGAUUGACAACAGGAACGACAUUAACUCAAUCACAAAGGAUACCAUACAGGAAGGGAAAGCUUGCAUCAUCUUUAGGCAAAAGAUUUAUAAAAACACAAUAAGCAGGAAAUAAGAAAGCACCUGUCUCCAAAGAGGAAGUAGCUUCGACUCAUCACCUAAAUCGUGUAGCCUCUGGGAACUGGAAAAAGAAGAAUUACAACUCAUAAGCUGACAGAAAUACAAAUAAGAGAUUAAAGAUUAAAAUGAGGCGAUGAUUGAAGCUUUUAAAAAAACAUUAAAAGCUCCGAUAGCUAAACUAAGCAUGUCAUCAGAUCAGAAGUGGCCACUCUGUCAUACAUGUUGGGCACUAUAAAAUAUAACAUUUGCAGAAAAAGGGUUUACAAAGAUAAUCUCCAUGGGGAGGCCCUAUUUUAAUCCAUGAUAACAUCAUAUAGUCAUUUAUAAUAUCAUUCUUUAAUUCUCCGGAAUUAGGAGUCCUAAAAUAAAUCAUUUUGACUUUUUAGAUCUCUUAAUUAGGUAAAUUUAGAAUCCAAAGAUAUCCCAUAUUCCCAUGAAUCGGACAUUUCUUAGUUGCAUUUAACCUUACGACCAAUAGGUGUUCAACAUAACAAGAGUUAUAGAGCCAUCAUAACUGUUUUCUGAAGACUCAAGGAAAAACAUCUAAAUACAGCUAAACAUCUGACGCUCGAUUGCCCAGAUGAGAUCAUGUCUAUUUGAAUUCUGUUCCCGUCAUCAACCAAAAGCCCCUAAACCUUCCAAAAUCUUAAACAAUGAGCCAACAUUCCCUUGUCAUUCUAAUUUUCCUAUAAACUUGGAUGAGUUUCUUCAAACAUUCAGGAAAUGAACAUAACAUAUACGUGACAAUAAAAAAGACAAACAUGCGCAAGUAUUUUAGACAUAUGUGCACACAUAUACACCCAGACAUAGAACAUUACAUGCAGAGGCAAAGGGCUAUAAUUUCAUAUUCUUAAGAAUAUACAUGCACAUGGUCUGAGAAAGAUGAAUGGCUUAUGCAACCCAAGUAGAGAGGACUCUUUCGUAUUCUAAAGGCAACCAGAGCGCAAUAAGAAUAUAGGACAAAAUGGCAGGAGGUGAAAUUGAAGAGAAGGGUUCAACCAAUAAAUACAUGCUUUAUUAUGCAAACUUAGUAAUAGCAUAGAAUGAUUUCUUGAUUUUAGUUUAUAAUUUCAAUCAACAGCAAUUGAAAGAAAUUGGCAAACCAAAGGAAAGUGUAAUGUUUCAACUUUCAAGCAUAAACAUGGAUACCAGUAGUGGCAUAUCUCAAAAGGCAUAUGUACAUAAGAACAACACUUCACCAGGAAUAGGGGGAUUUAGUCUAAGCAGCAAUUAUUUCACCAUGAUUUGACAGCAAAAAUUGCAACAGAAAACAUAAUUAUUGGUCAAAAGUUACCAACCAAAGUGUUAAGUUGACAUCAUAUGAGAAGUACAGACCAGAAGUCCCAUGAGCAGCAUCUAAAAGUGUAGAAAAUUCAGAUUCCAUCUUUUUCUGCCAAAAGAUAGUGCAACUAUUAACUUUGAUUCUGAGAGUAAAUCAUGAACCCAGCAAAUAACUAAACACACUCCUAGACCUGUUCAGCCGACGAAGUUUUCAGUGAAUGAUUGCACGGCAGAACUUGUAGUGAUGACACUCUGAAAAUAGCAUGUCCUAGGUAAGAUCCAACACAUUCACGUUCCUUCACCACCAAUAGAUAUGAUCCUGUGGAAUGUCAGGGAAAGCAAUAACUGUUUGUCAAACUGGAAUUCAACUUUUGACUGUGUGAAGCAUUUAGGGCUGAUGCUGAAAUAUGUACAGAAAUACAAUGUACAGAUGCCCCAGAAAGCAUGAAAGCACAAACAGAUGUAAUUUCUAUGUAUAAAUGAUUUGCUGAUUCCUGAUAUCAACAUACUUAAAAACCUGUAUUACUCAGAAUAUCAGAGUAUCAGGAACAAGUACAGAAGCAAUUACCUAUUAACUCAUCCACAACUUACAAAGAAAGGACAUAACUCAUCUUUUUAUAUCAUCAAGAAUGCAAAAUAAAAGUUGAGGAUUAGGAUACAACAAAAAAAUUGAAAACAUAAUUAGAAGAAAAUGGAAGAACUAGUUGCAACACUAAGUUACAAACACGACAAGGGUUGCAAUGUAAUUAUGUUGUCAAAUGUCAACUUUAGCUAGUGAUUCCUACUACGAGCCUAACAUCACACAAAAUACUUACUAAACUAACAAAAAGGAGCCUAACAUCACACAAAAUACUUACUAAACAAACAAAAAGUAUUCAAAAAAGAAUCAUAAUAUCUAAAAUGCCUGAGGUAUCAGCGAUUUGCCUGGCCACCAGUAAAAGAAAAGAAAAGAAAAAGAAAAAAAUUGUGAUACCAAAUACUAAGUAAUUAAAGCAUAUUUUACUUAUGAAGUUUAGCAGUGCACAUACAGGAGUGGAAGAGAAAUCGAAGAUACAACAAUGAGUAUAAAAGAAGCAAAAAUUGACUACCUAACAUAUAAUGGUACGACAGUGGCACUGAGAGCAACAGAUCUGGUUACAUCAAAGAUUUCCUUACAAAUUCAUAAUUGCAACAAAGAACUAGAUAAGCUUGAUCCAACCCACCUAUAUUCUAUUUUACUUGCCGGUGGUUUGUUUCCCAAAUAAUAUAGGAUUUCAUGGCAAGAACGCAAAGGAAAAGUUAGACCUAGAUAUUAAUAUAUUGGUUUGAUUCCCAUAAACCAGCGAGAUCCACAGAAAGAAAAAGAGAACUACUAAAAUUAUUGUGCAGGUAAGCGAGAAAGCUACAUGAACGAGUUUUUAACAGAUAUUAAUACAACAAAUUUUGUAUUGGAAGAAAGUAAACAAAGUUGCACUAGAAUCCACUUGCCUACUAAAAGUUUAAGCACCCCAAUUAUGCCAUAAAUAGUUUGAACUCUUGCAGAGUGAACGGAACCUUGCAGUGGAAGCUCACCUGUAAACAUAGGUCACAAUGAGAAUUACGAAGUUUCAAUCUCUGCAGAUAAAGGCUUGGUUUAUAGCAUAUCUCAUGCAGAAAAGUGAAGAUGUUUCCUUAACAAAGAUGUUUAUAUAGCACUUAUCCUGAUCAAUAUAAUGAAUAAAUUAUAUUUAUGCAAAGUUAGUGUGAAUUUGUGUGAUAUUAAGAAAUUGUAAUAGCUACACAGAGAUUUAUUGUCAGGCACAAUAGUGUGAUGUUGUAUGCACAAAUAUAUCUCUAAAAACAAAAAGAAUAUACCACAAAAACAUAUAGAAUGUUUAUAAUAUUAAAAAUUGAUUAAACAUGUCUACAAAAGUAUUUCAAAGAGAAUGAAUAUCAUUCCUAUGCCACUACAGAAGUAAUAAAAAGUUAUUACAAACCUAUUAGCUUCAUAGAUCCAUCAGCCCGACUAAUAGACAGAUAUGAAUCAGCAAGACCAUCUACUGGCUCGAGGAUGUAUUUUUCCGGAUAUUCCCAUAAUCUGAGUCUUGUGUGGAGUUUCUUUGGCGUAGUUGCGUUCCCAUUCUCAUCCAUGACUGAAUACACUGCUAGAACCAAUGUUUCUUUUUAAAAGCAUAAAAGGUUUUGCACCUUCACACACACACACACACACACACAAAGUUGGGAGGAGAGAGAAGGGAGAACAGGGAACCUAGACUAAUCACAAAAUGAUGAUAGAGAAAUUAUCUUUGCAUAAUUGUCAGAAAGAUGAUGUAGAACAAUUCAGUUCAGUUCAGUUCAGUGUUGAGAAAUAAGGCAGGCUGUUGGUAAAUCCUUAAUGAAGUGUGAAAGAAUGACAAGCUAGACAAAUCGAAAGAACUUUCUCUGUUUAUUAGUUUUAUAAUGGAAAACUUACAUUGGAAAGCAGGGAGAAAAAGAGAAAUGAAUAAACAUUUCCAGUAAGUUUAAAAAAAUCAUAGUGAAUGAAGUACCUACACGGGUUUGAAAGAGAUUCAGAUCAGAAAUUCAUGUUGUUGCAUAUUUAUUGUGUGAUGUUAUUUUGGCCCCUCAAACACCAGAAACAAAGCCAAGUUAAAACCUAAUCAUGCAAGAAAGUCCAAUAAUAAUAGUCGAUCAGCAAACAUGAAAAGUUCCAAAUAAAUGGUCAAGAAGAAAAUUCUAGGUCGCAUGAGAGAGAGAGAGAGAGAGAGAGAGAGGGGCACCAUAUCCACGGUUCAAGACUAGAUCAUACGAUCAGAGAUCACAAACCCAACAUAUAAUACCUAAAAUGCUAAAAAAGAGGAGAAAUAACACGGACUAAAGUAAAAAAGAACGGCAAGCUAUUCAGAGUGUUAUUAAUGUUUCCAGUAAAAUAAAAAAGAUUCCUAGUGAAUUACGUAAUUAGUAAGGUUGAUAGGGGAUUCAGAUUGGUUUGUUCUUUUUAUCUUUAUCACGUCAUAACUUUGAGUCCUCCUUUCCAAAAAUUAAAAAAAAAAAAAAGAAUCCUAAAACAACAGAAAUGAAAUUAGAGAUAAAACCUAAUCAAUUCAAUUAGAUUUCCGACAUUUCAAAAGAAGAGCACAAUAGAGGAAGGACAUCCAUGUUCCAAGAAUUCAUCAUACGACCAGAAAAGUCAUGCCCGAAGGAUAAACCCUAAGAUGGACUGUUUAAAUUUGAGAUCGGAAUAUCACGUUAUGUUUAUCACGUACAAUUAGGAUAAAACCUAGCCGUACGAUUUGAUCCAAUUACUAAAUACGAUCGACGAUGAGAAGAACCUUUCCGAAAUUCCGAACAAAGCGAUCAAGAGCUCAAUCGUGAUCGCACAGAGAGCGAAGAAGAAACGUCUAGAGAUCCACGCAUCAAGUGUCCAAUCAUACAACCAGAGAUCGCGUGCGCAAAGGAUGGACUCUAAGCUCGAAAAUUCCAAAUAAAGCGAUCAAAAACAAGAUCCACGGUUCAAGAAUCGGAUCGUUGGAACAGAGAUCCCGUGCGCAAAGCAUAAACCCUAGGAUGGAACGAAGAGGCGAAGUGUACCUCGGGAGCGCGGAGCUGGGAGGAGACCGUUGGGAUGGCGCCGGCGACGGAGGUAGCGACAAUGGCGAGAGAUUGGAGGAAGAGGAGAGGCGAAGUAGGGAGGAGAUGAUGGAGUAUAAAUAGGGAGAGAGAGGAGGAGGAGGGAUCUGAGUCUCCGAGCCUCGCGGGGACAAUGGACACCUCCGCACACGCUCGAAGUAGAACCGUUCUUGGGGCCUGGGACUAUAAAUACUGGUUGAACACGAUAGGUGGGUCGAGGCAACAACAUUCGCAACGGUAGGGAGAGAGAGCGAAACACAGAUCACGUAUGCGAGAGUUUAUUACUCUUGUGAUAUUUAUUACUGUGCGAAAUUAGUCAAUUCCUGUUUAAAAUGAAAAUUUGGCGAAUAAAUGUCGUAAAUAAUAUAAGAUUAUAACAUUAAAAUAUUUUAAAAUUCAGACACUUAUUAUUUAAGGGCCGUUAUUGUUAAGAUAACUUACGCACUUUUUCUUACCUAAAUAUUAUUCACAUUUCUUCAAAAAAAAAAAAAAAUUAACAUCUAUAAAAAUAGCUUCUUGUAUAUAUGAAAUUUGCCAAAUUUAUUAAAACGAUUUGAACCAAACAAUCUAACAUUCUGUAGGAUUUGGGCUUUAUUUGGCUAUCAUUUUGUGGUCAAAUUUACAGCAAUUAUAUAUUGGCAUUUUAGAUUGCAGCUAACCAACGUGCAAUAAAUGGAGCACCCCCACCUCUAGCGAGGUGGUUGGAGUGCACCGCCCCCUGCCGAGAUCCUCAUUUCGAACUCCCCGAUCGGGCUUCUAAUUAUCGUUUUGAGGUUAUUCGCGGUUGGAUCCUAGGGGCAUAUUUUACCAAAAACAGCAAGAGUUUUUUUUUUUUUUUUUUGAGAGGGAAAUAUGUAGCAUGCUACUCAUUUCGUUAAUUUUCUUUAGAAAUAAAAUUAGUCAAAAAUAUGAAUCAAUUAGGAUUCAAAUUUGGAACCUCAAGUACCAAUCAUCCAGCCUUUUACCACUUGCGCAAGGAAUGGUCGGUAAAAAUAGUAAAGUUGAUCACAGCAGAACGUGCUAGAGAUAUACAGAAAGCGAGUAGAAGACAUGAAAUCUACAAUACUAGUUGACGGUUGUUAAACUGCCGUAUUAAUACUACCAUAUCAUGUUGUACAGGUAAUCUCAUUUUUGUAGAAGUUUAUCUAUAUUCUUGGUUGAAAUAACAUGACUAUUAGAGUGAGACUAAUAUGCUUCUGAUAGCACAGAAUUAUUCGUGCUUUCAAGUCAUUUUCAAUGUUGUGACUUUCGAAUCGACGAUCGACUCUGUUAAACUUGAUCUAGAAUAUUUGAAGCAUCUAAAAAAUAAAUUUUGCGACUUUUCGAUAUCAUUUGCCUAGUAAUUGAAAUGACUCAAAAUCAACGACUGAAAAUAAAAAUCUUACAAAAUAUGAUGAUAUAACAUUAAAAUAUUAGAUCAAAAAUAUUGAUCUUGAACAUCGUUAAAUUUACAAACGGCUCACCACGGCUAUUAAAAUGAUUGAUUUUGAGCACCUUCGAUGACUAGACAAAUAAUAUCGAAAAAUUACAAAAUUUAUUUUUUAAGUACUUCAAAUACUUUAGAUCAAGUCUAAAGAAGAUCAAGUCUAAAGAAGCCGAUCGCCGAUUCAAAAGUCCCAACAUCGAAAUAUUCGUGCUUCCAUAAGUAUACCAGCCUUACCCUGACUAUUAUACAUUUCUUCCAAAACAAAGUGAAUAAAGAACCCAAUACAAUAAUUGCCUGCAAUCAUAUUUUGUAUAUUAUGGUCCCUUUAUUUACUCUUUUGAGCUUAAACACAUUCAAAGGCCAGUCCCCUCUUACUUAUCAAACAACAUGUACCUAGUUUAAUAAACGAACACCAACAUUCCAUUCUAGUUUUUUUUUUUUUCAUUUCGAAAUAAUAUCCCAAGCUCAAGCAAAUCCAUGGAUAAAGGACUAAAAAUACCAUCAUUGUUCUCAAUAAUCCUUCCAUGUUAUGCUAUGAAGCAAGCCUUUAAUCUAUAAAAAUAAAUUGUAUCAGAAGGCAUGUUAUUACAAUUAUAUGAAGUUGAAAAUUAUAGAUAUAUAAAUUUCAUGUACUGAAUAAUAUUACAGAUACUAUACCAGAAGUUCUUUUAGUAAACUCAGAUGUCCAUAGUAUGAUUAACACUCAAUUUUCCUGCACAAACCAGGGCACCUUCUGGGUAAUUCUCCGCUGCAUGCAUUGACUCGGCCUUCAUUGCCAACUUACAUGCUUGGUUUGAGGUUGAGACGGGUUGCGAGCUUCUGACCGAGGGACUUGUCACACUACAUAAUACAACACAAGGAAUUUAUCAGAACUCAAAUCAUAAGCUUCUGAUACAUCACUGAUUUCUUCAUGAUUUUUUAUUAACUAAAAGCUUCUGGCUUUUCAAACACAACUCAGGAUAAUAAUCUAACAAGAGUUGGUAGACUAACCUGAGACCAGUAAGAUAUCCAAAUGCUCCUGAUUUCAUGGGUGACUCUAGGGUCAGACAAUGCAUCAACCCAUCUCUUAAUGAAUCUCUCUUGCCUGAAAUAAGAAAUAGUAAUAUUAACACUAAUAAGAGAAUGCUUCGCGGGGAAAAAACACCUGUAUGCAACACUAUAGAGCAGUAAAAGUCACAGGUUGCAAACCUGGCAGGAUCAAAAGAGCGGUAUCUCUCUCCAGGCUGCUUGAAAUUGUUCUCCUUUUCAAUUACACACUGCAUUCAGCAAACAAGAACAUUCAACUCAUUAAAUGAUAUCAUGCUAUGUACAAAGGCAUUAUGCACUUUUCUCCUCCAAAUCAAUUAGUUUUACACUCCAGGAAAAUUUGAGGAUUGAUCCUCAUUCAAAAGACAAAACAGUUUCCAAAGACAGAAGAUUCAAGAUUCUGUGGAAUGAAGGCUCACCUUCUCACGUCUUCCAGUCAGAAUGCGUGGUGGGAUAGGGAACCUCUCCGCAUGCCGAGCAGGAUCAUACCUUGAAGGGAAAUAAUCUACCUGGAAAAAAAUUAACAAACGUAUCACAUAAACAAAGAGGGUUUAAUAGCUAAAGAGAGGAAAAUUAUCAUUAUAAAUCAAAAGGGAUGCAAGAACAGUACAAUACCUCCUCAUCCCUGUGCAUGAAAUUCAUGAAGCCAUCGUAAUGGUUAUUGUGGUGAGCGCAUUUGGGAGCAUUCGCAGGAAGCAUUAGAUAGUUCGGCCCAAGACGGUGCCUCUGAGUAUCAGCAUAAGAGAAUAUCCUAGUCUGGAGCAGCUUAUCAUCCGAAUAGUAUAUCCCAGGCACCACAAUAGCCGGACAGAAGGCGAGCUGUUCAUUCUCAGCAAAGAAGUUAUCGAUGUUCCUGUUCAGCACCAAUCGCCCCACUGGCUGGAGAGGCAAGAUAUCCUCAGGCCAUGUCUUGGUCACAUCAAGUGGGUCAAAAUCGAACCGAUCUUCAUAAUCCGGAUCAAUAAUCUGAAUAUAAAGUUUCCAUUCAGGAUAAUUUCCGGCUGCGAUAGAAUCGUAAAGAUCCUUAGUUGCGUGGCUAUGGUUAGUCCCUCCAACAAUCACGGCCUCAUCGUCCAAUAAACUCUUAACGCCGCAAGUGGGUUUCCAGUGGAACUUGACAUAGUGGGCUUUGCCUUCCUUGUUGAUGAGGGUGUAGGUGUUAACGCCAGAGCCAUCCAUGUGGCGGUAGUCGGUAGGGAUGCCGAUAUCGUCGAAGAGGAAGGUGAACAUGUGCAGGCUCUCAGGGUGGUGGGAGAAGAAGUCAACGAUCCGCCAGUUCUCCUGGAUGUGGGAUUUGGGAUUCGGUUUGAGGGCAUGAACCAUGUCGGGGAACUUCAUCCCGUCACGGAUGAAGAAUACGGGGAAGUUGUUCCCAACAAGAUCAAAGUUUCCCUGAGGAGCGUAAUUUUGUGUAAAAGCAGUAGUAAGUACAAAUUCAAUGACAAAUCUCAUGAGUUGUCAAUUACUCAACAGAGAGAAUUAGUCCAGCACACUCCUAAUUAAAUUGAACAAAUUGGCAUUACUUAUAUCAAAGUUAGAAAUACAAUUAUUUAAUGAUAUAUCUGUGCUUUGGUAACUCUAAUAAAAAAACAGCAGAACACAAUGCACCUUUUAGUGUACUAUCAUCCUUCUUUUAAAAUUCUUCAAUCAAGAAAGGAAAAAAGAAAAGCUACUUGCAAAACAAGAGCAAUCAAAUUAGACUAGUAGUAGAGUCCAGCAAAUCAAAUAGGACAAAAAUUAUGAUAUAUAUGCAAGUCAUAACAUAGUAUAAAUAACUAGAUUACUUAUAUACACAAUGAGUUGGCACGGAUUUUAACAUAUUGAAAUUAAUAAUAAGAAAAAAAAACAAUGAAAUAGUAUAUGACUUGAUUUGAAAGGAAAGUUUAAAUAGUUCUGAAAUCAAUUUCUAAAACCAAAUGACAAUAAUAAAGUGUCCAAAAGAACUUGACGUCUGCUGAAUUUUGCAUCUGAACAAAAUGUUCAAAAAUCAAAAAGAAAGAAAGAGAAAAUGUAACAAGCUAAGUUACCUCUCUGGUGUAAAACUUAACAGCGAAACCUCGUGGGUCUCUUAGGGUUUCAGGGCUGCCGCGCUCAUGAAUGACAGUCGAGAAGCGAACAAUGACUGGGGUCUGGACCCCAGGCGCCCGAAGGAAAUCAGCACAGGUGAGGUGAGAGAUGUCAUGCGUGACCUCGAAGAAGCCCUUUGCGCUCGCUCCUCUGGCGUGAACAACACGUUCUGGAAUGCGUUCCCUGUCGAACUGGGCAAGCUUUUCAACGAGAUGGUAGUCCUCGAGAAGAAUAGGCCCUUUUCACAGGAAACAACAAAAUUCAAUGUCGUAUAUGCAGAAUUGGGUCUUCCUCAGAAGAAUACAGAACAAUAUCGAGAUGCAUAGAUUUUUAAUCUCAUAAAAACAUCGACAAGCACAGGACCUGUUAAAGUCACUACCUUCUCCUAUUCUUAUAUAUAAAUACAGAGAUACUAAAAGAAAAUGAUAGAACUAGAAAAUGAUACAUAAAUAUUGGUAAAUAUGAAUAAACUCCAUGCUAGUCUAAAUAUGGAUCUGCAGAAGCCGGUGGCUCAGAAUUUUUGUCCUAAAUAGUUUAAAAAGCCAGUAUGAAUGGUAUAGAACUACAAAGAGAAAUGAGUACCCAAAAGGAUAUCCUGAAUAAUUUAGGAGUCAUGCUAUCCAUAAACAAAAAUGGCCACAACUACACAAAAACUGAAUAUAGAAACAUGUGAUUUAUUCAUCCUAAAGCAAAGUGAUUCUACAUAGCUAACCAUCUAAUAUCGAAUGACAAACAUCUUAACAAAUGAAAUUCCGACCAAUUAACUUUAUAAGAAAAUAAAAUCAGAUGAUACGAAAAAUGAGGAAACCUCCAUUGCAACAAAGAAGAAGAUUGACUAUGUUAACAUACGCAAGAUAUUAAACAAAACCAACAUGUAAAUUUAGAAGAACAUAGAUAGAUAAUAUAGUACCUCGGGACCCGACGGUGAGGGAGUUGUUGUUGUUCCAAACCGGGGCGCCGGAAUUGGUGGUCCAGAAAGGGGAGUUGAAGGCGCUCGAAGGACGGUACUGCACCAUAUCCAAAUCCAGUUGGUCAAAUUAAAGAGCAUUAAGCAUAGUUCAAAUCACUGCAAGGUUAUUCUAAUAAGUAAAAUUGAAAAUUAUACACAAAACUUUUUAAGAAAAAACUCAAAAUUUCUCAAAGUCAAAGAACCCAAAAUGGAGGCACCUAUUAUUGGAUUUGAUUACUGGUAACAACAGGUACAAUAACAAAAGAACACAAAAACAGGGUAAAAAUCCAAACUUGCUACGAAUUGAUCACAAUAACUUACAAGUAAAUAUCAAUAACGACAGGAAAUGAUCGAACAACCAAAAAAAAAACCAGUCAUUUGUUAUAUUAAAUUAAGUGAGGCGAUUGCUAACGAAUCAAAAAAAAGGGUGGGAAAUCACCCAAUCAAUUACUUUUACGCCAUUAAUUGAGUUAAAUUGUAAAAAAGUUAAGCGAUACCUUGUAAGGAUCCAUGGCGACGAGAUCACCGACGACGACGCCCUAAGGAGGAAGAGGAGGAGGAGGCUCUACGUUCGCGAGCCCGACGACCCGUAAAGAGCAUUUUAUAAAGGGUUCGGCGCGUUUUGCAUCGUCCUGGGCCCCACAGGGUCGAUUACGGGGUUACGUGGCGAUCGCGUAGUGGUCGCUCGCUCUCUCACAAUACCUCGAAUGAAAAAUGUGCGCGACUCUUCGUUUAUUUUCUCGCUCAUAAUAUCGUGGCGAUAAUAUCACGUUAUCAAAUGUUUUUAAGUGCUAACUAACUGGGUUUCUAGAAAUAUAAUUUAAUUCCAACAAGUAACCUAAAUCCUAAUCUCGAUAUUUAUUUGUUAGGAUUUCGAAAAUUAUGUACGCAAAAAAUAAUAAUAGCAGAUAUUCUUAAUCAAAAGUAGGGAUGCAAAUGGAUCCGGGCUGGUGGAGCUCCGCCCCGAUCCGCCCCGAAUGGGGUGCAUGAUAAGUGGGAACAAAAAAUAUAGAAAAGUAUAACCCGUCCCGAAUCCGCCCCGAUCCGCCAAGUAAAUGGAGCGGGAGGCGGGAGACUCUUUUCUUUCUUCAAUCUACCCCGAUCCGUUAAAAAUCCGCUCCCGCCCCGCUCUCGCCCCGAUCCGCCCCGAAUGGAGCGGUAAGUGGGAGCCAAAAAUAAAAUAAAAAGUAACCCGCCCUGAAUCCGCCCCGCCCAAAUAAGAAAUGGAGCGGGAGGUGGGGGAACUCUCCCGCCCCCGGAUUCCCCUGUUUGCAUCCCUAUAAUGAAAUAAAAGAAAAAAGAAUUACAAGUAAGUAGCAAAAAUUUUUGAAUAUUCUCGUACCAUUUUAGAAUGAACUAAAUAAUUAACAAAUAAAUAUUUACAGUUGAAAUUUUUUUUUAUGUUCGGUAAAGCAAAUUCAUCAUCUCUCAUGUUCGCAUUUUUUUCAUAUUUUAUAAAAUAGUGAUACUAUAUUACUAUGAGCACAGUAGUACUUGUGCUUAUAAGUUUCUAAUUAUUCAUCAAUUUUGAUAAAUGGUUAAAGUAAGAGAGAAAAGAGAAAUUAGAAAAAAAAUUAGAUACCUCAAUUUCUUUUAAAAAAUUUUCUAUUUUUUUGUCUCUCGAAUCCUAACCAUCCAUCAAAAUUGAUGGAUAACUAAAACUUAGGAGUGUAAAAACUGAUGUGUUUUUAAUAACACAGUAGU